Molecule: unclassified non-coding RNA, 443 nt
Filed under: Hevea brasiliensis (rubber tree)
Lineage: Eukaryota; Viridiplantae; Streptophyta; Magnoliopsida; Malpighiales; Euphorbiaceae
Source: RNAcentral
ACACACGCACGCACGAUAUACACGUAGAGCUAAGCCACCACAUGACCACCACGACUACGUACGGGCACACAUAUACGUACGUACGUACACGGGUACACACAGCAGGUUCGAUCAGUCGGACUUGAGCAGGAAGCUCUGCUUGCGCUCGCGGAACUCGCCGGUGCAGGUGUUGAAGUCCUCCUCCACCUUGGUCUCGCGCACCAUCAGGUAGUCGUUGCCGUGGUUGUGGUUGUGGUGGUGGCGGCCGGAGCCGGACCUGUCGAUCUCCUGGAACGUCUCCUUGACGACGUGCUGCUGCUGCACGCCGCCGCGGCCGAGGAAGCCGCCGGUGGGGGUCACCGACCUCACCUCCUCCGAGCAGUAGUCCACCUCCUGGUAGUGAGCCAUUGUUUUUUAGUUGGGGAGUGAGGUGAGGUGGUGUUGUGAUGAGCGAGAAAUGGUUA